RNAcentral lists this ribosomal RNA (1884 nucleotides) under uncultured raphidophyte. RNAcentral describes it as "SSU rRNA". It matches the Rfam family "Eukaryotic small subunit ribosomal RNA". The record is from RNAcentral. Lineage: Eukaryota; Raphidophyceae.
CUGGUUGAUCCUGCCAGUAGCAUACGCUUGUCUCAAAGAUUAAGCCAUGCAUGUCUAAGUAUAAAUAACUCUAUACUGUGAAACUGCGAAUGGCUCAUUAUAUCAGUUAUAGUUUAUUUGAUAGUCCCUUACUACUUGGAUAACCGUAGUAACUCUAGAGCUAAUACAUGCGUCAAGUCCCGACUGUGGGGCAACCUGCGGAAAGGAUGUAUUUAUUAGAUCCAACCAACCCGGUUUCGGCCGGUGCCUGGUGAAUCAUGAUAACUGAGCGAAUCGCAUGGCCUUGCGCCGGCGAUGGUUCAUUCAAGUUUCUGCCCUAUCAGCUUUCGAUGGUAGGGUAUUGGCCUACCAUGGCAUUAACGGGUAACGGAGAAUUAGGGUUCGAUUCCGGAGAGGGAGCCUGAGAAACGGCUACCACAUCCAAGGAAGGCAGCAGGCGCGUAAAUUACCCAAUCCUGACACAGGGAGGUAGUGACAAUAAAUAUCAAUACGGGACCUUUUGGUUUCGUAAUUGGAAUGAGUGCAAGCCAAACAUCUGCACGAGGAACAAUUGGAGGGCAAGUCUGGUGCCAGCAGCCGCGGUAAUUCCAGCUCCAAUAGCGUAUAUUAAAGUUGUUGCAGUUAAAAAGUUCGUAGUUGAAUGUCUGGGCCCGGGUGCGGUCGGCCUUUGUGCCUGUACUAGCAUUCCGGCGUCCAUCCUUGCAGAGAAGCGGUGGUGGGGUUCGCUCCGCUGCCUGUCUGACCUGCAUCAAUUACUGUGAACAAACUAGGGUGUUUAAAGCGGGCAGGACUGCUUGAAUACAUUAGCAUGGAAUAAUGAGAUAGGACUCCGGUGCUAUUUCGUUGGUUGCGUACCAGAGUAAUGAUUAACAGGGACAGUUGGGGGUAUUCAUAUUUGAAUGUCAGAGGUGAAAUUCUUGGAUUUUUCAAAGAUGAACAACUGCGAAAGCAUUUACCAAGGAUGCUUUCAUUAAUCAAGAUCGAAAGUCAGGGGAUCGAAGAGGAUUAGAUACCCUCGUAGUCUUGACCAUAAACUAUGCCGACUCAGGAUUGGCGGUGUACUUCAAUGCCUCCGCCAGCACUGUAUGAAAAAUCAAAGUCUUUGGGUUCCGGGGGGAGUAUGGUCGCAAGGCUGAAACUUAAAGGAAUGGACGGAAGGGCACCACCAGGAGUGGAGCCUUCGGCUUAAUGUGACUCUACACGGGGAAACUUACCAGGUCCAGACAUAGUAAGGAUUGACAGAUUGAUAGCUCUUUCUUGACUCUAUGGGUGGUGGUGCAUGGCCGUUCUUAGUUGGUGGAGUGAUUUGUCUGGUUAAUUCCGAUAACGAACGAGACCUCCGCCUGCUAAAUAGUCACGUGGUGCCUUUGGCACCCACGGAUUUCGACUUCUUAGAGGGACUAUGGGCGGUAAGCUCAUGGAAGUUGGAGGCAAUAACAGGUCUGUGAUGCCCUUAAAUGUUCUGGGCCGCACGCGCGCUACACUGACUGGUUCAGAGAGUUCCACCCUGUGCUCGAAAGGCAUGGGUAAUCUGUGAAUGCCAGUCGUGAUGGGGAUAGAUUCCAGCAAUGACAAUCUUCAACGAGGAAUUCCUAGUAAGCGCAAGUCAUCAACUUGCACUGAUUACGUCCCUGCCCUUUGUACACACCGCCCGUCGCACCUACCGAUUGAAUGGUCCGGUGAACUUUCGGAUCGUGGCGGGCUGCAUCCUUGUGGUGCGCCCGCCGUGAAAAGUCAUUUAAACCUUAUCAUUUAGAGGAAGGUGAAGUCGUAACAAGGUUUCCGUAGGUGACCUGCAUAGGCGAUGUCCAGCACACUGGCGCCGUUAUACGUGAGCCGGCUCGUACCAGCUGCUUGCACAGGCCUCUUUGUCUUUUUUUCCUC